AGAGAAGUCAAUUUCAUAAUCUCCUGAAUGGUAGCCUUAUGAGAAUUUUGGAGACAAUAAUUUUUCAAUGGAAGUAUUUUAAUAAUUCUCAAGGAUUAGGACAUUCAAUUUUAUGAUUAUUUUAAAGGAUAAAGAUAGGAAAAGCACAUGGCCUUGAUGGAAUUUUUUUUACUGAAGUUUGGAAUUACCUUGUGGAAAUAAGGGUAUUUUCAUCGAGUCGACUAUUAAUAAGUGUGGAAGAUUGAACUUUCAUUUUUAUUUUUACUUUUU
RNAcentral lists this unclassified non-coding RNA (270 nucleotides) under Hevea brasiliensis (rubber tree). Lineage: Eukaryota; Viridiplantae; Streptophyta; Magnoliopsida; Malpighiales; Euphorbiaceae. The record is from RNAcentral.